RNAcentral lists this ribosomal RNA (762 nucleotides) under Dipoena melanogaster. RNAcentral describes it as "partial large subunit ribosomal RNA". The stretch from base 475 to 762 matches the Rfam family "Eukaryotic large subunit ribosomal RNA", at positions 665 to 921 of the family's 3401-position model. Lineage: Eukaryota; Metazoa; Arthropoda; Arachnida; Araneae; Theridiidae. The record is from RNAcentral.
GUGGGCCCUCGAAGUCCUGUGGCGGGAGGAUUCAGUCGGAAGGUCGAGGCGUGAUUUUGCCGAAUUCAGUACGGUUCCGCGACGCGGACCAUUUCGGCUGCACGCUCUCCGGCUAGUACGACGCAUUUGUUUCCCGCCCGAAGGACGCCGCAACCGGUUGGGAGACGGCCUGAAGGCCCGCAUCGAUAGGUGGCUGGAAGCUUGCCCUCGUUGGCUAGAGCCAGUGACUUGAGUCGGCGGGUUGAGGCUCGUAUCCCGACCGUGGUGUCGCGAAGCCCCCCACAUGGGCUUCUCCGCCUCCUCCUCUGCGGGAUGCCGGACGAGACGUGGCAGAGGUUCUCCGAACUGCGGGCGCACAGGCUGACCCUGUGGCCGGGCGGUCGAGAGUCCUCGUUGGCCGCGCGUGAUCCGUUGGAGUGCUGGCGGUUGGCGGCGAGUAGAUCGGUCACCCACCCGACCCGUCUUGAAACACGGACCAAGGAGUCUAACAUGUGUGCGAGUCAAUGGGUCUCGAAGAAGCCCAGAGGCGCAAUGAAAGCAAAGGCAGGACUUGACGCCGGCCGUGUUGGGAUCGCCUGCCUCCGGGCGGGUGCGCACCAACGACCCGUCCUAUCCGACUUGUCGGUUGGGCGGAGUCUGAGCAUACACGUUGGGACCCGAAAGAUGGUGAACUAUGCCCGGGCAGAACGAAGCCAGAGGAAACUCUGGUGGAGGUUCGCAGCGGUUCUGACGUGCAAAUCGAUCGUCAGACCCAGGUAUAGG